AGAGUUUGAUCCUGGCUCAGGAUGAACGCUGGCGGCGUGCCUAAUACAUGCAAGUCGAGCGAACGGACGAGAAGCUUGCUUCUCUGAUGUUAGCGGCGGACGGGUGAGUAACACGUGGAUAACCUACCUAUAAGACUGGGAUAACUUCGGGAAACCGGAGCUAAUACCGGAUAAUAUUUUGAACCGCAUGGUUCAAAAGUGAAAGGCGGUCUUGCUGUCACUUAUAGAUGGAUCCGCGCUGCAUUAGCUAGUUGGUAAGGUAACGGCUUACCAAGGCAACGAUGCAUAGCCGACCUGAGAGGGUGAUCGGCCACACUGGAACUGAGACACGGUCCAGACUCCUACGGGAGGCAGCAGUAGGGAAUCUUCCGCAAUGGGCGAAAGCCUGACGGAGCACCGCCGCGUGAGUGAUGAAGGUCUUCGGAUCGUAAAACUCUGUCAUUAGGGAAGAACAUAUGUGUAAGUAACUGUGCACAUCUUGACGGUACCUAAUCAGAAAGCCACGGCUAACUGCGUGCCAGCAGCCGCGGUAAUACGUAGGUGGCAAGCGUUAUCCGGAAUUAUUGGGCGUAAAGCGCGCGUAGGCGGUUUUUUAAGUCUGAUGUGAAAGCCCACGGCUCAACCGUGGAGGGUCAUUGGAAACUGGAAAACUUGAGUGCAGAAGAGGAAAGUGGAAUUCCAUGUGUAGCGGUGAAAUGCGCAGAGAUAUGGAGGAACACCAGUGGCGAAGGCGACUUUCUGGUCUGUAACUGACGCUGAUGUGCGAAAGCGUGGGGAUCAAACAGGAUUAGAUACCCUGGUAGUCC
Molecule: ribosomal RNA, 806 nt
Filed under: uncultured bacterium
Lineage: Bacteria
Description: bacterial SSU rRNA
Rfam family: Bacterial small subunit ribosomal RNA
Source: RNAcentral